This 315-nucleotide ribosomal RNA is filed under the name uncultured bacterium. RNAcentral describes it as "bacterial SSU rRNA". It matches the Rfam family "Bacterial small subunit ribosomal RNA", at positions 28 to 334 of the family's 1533-position model. The record is from RNAcentral.
GAUGAACGCUAGCGACAGGCUUAACACAUGCAAGUCGAGGGGCAGCAUGGUAGGUAGCAAUACUUAUUGAUGGCGACCGGCGCACGGGUGAGUAACGCGUAUGCAACUUACCUAUCAGAGGGGGAUAGCCCGGCGAAAGUCGGAUUAAUACUCCAUAAAACAGGGAUCCCGCAUGGGAAUAUUUGUUAAAGAUUUUCGCUGAUAGAUAGGCAUGCGUUCCAUUAGGCAGUUGGCGGGGUAACGGCCCACCAAACCGACGAUGGAUAGGGGUUCUGAGAGGAAGGUCCCCCACAUUGGUACUGAGACACGGACCAA